AUAGCUAGUGGUAGAGCACGUGCUUAGCAUGCACGAGGUCCUGGGUUCAAUCCCCAGU
This 58-nucleotide transfer RNA is filed under the name Camelus bactrianus (Bactrian camel). It matches the Rfam family "tRNA", at positions 7 to 64 of the family's 71-position model. Rfam says of the family: Transfer RNA (tRNA) molecules are approximately 80 nucleotides in length. Their secondary structure includes four short double-helical elements and three loops (D, anti-codon, and T loops). Lineage: Eukaryota; Metazoa; Chordata; Mammalia; Artiodactyla; Camelidae. The record is from Rfam by way of RNAcentral. RNAcentral also lists the same sequence under 2 other names.